UGACCUGCCCUCAGCUCUGGGAUAAGCCUGGGAAACUGGGUCUAAUACCGGAUAUGACCUUCUGUCGCAUGGCAGUGGGUGGAAAGUUUUUCGGCUGGGGAUGGGCCCGCGGCCUAUCAGCUUGUUGGUGGGGUGAUGGCCUACCAAGGCGACGACGGGUAGCCGGCCUGAGAGGGCGACCGGCCACACUGGGACUGAGACACGGCCCAGACUCCUACGGGAGGCAGCAGUGGGGAAUAUUGCGCAAUGGGCGAAAGCCUGACGCAGCGACGCCGCGUGGGGGAUGACGGCCUUCGGGUUGUAAACCUCUUUCGCCAUCGACGAAGCCUUUGGGUGACGGUAGGUGGAGAAGAAGCACCGGCCAACUACGUGCCAGCAGCCGCGGUAAUACGUAGGGUGCGAGCGUUGUCCGGAAUUAUUGGGCGUAAAGAGCUCGUAGGCGGUGUGUCGCGUCGGUCGUGAAAACUUGGGGCUUAACUCUGAGCUUGCGGUCGAUACGGGCAUCACUUGAGUUCGGCAGGGGAGACUGGAAUUCCUGGUGUAGCGGUGAAAUGCGCAGAUAUCAGGAGGAACACCGGUGGCGAAGGCGGGUCUCUGGGCCGAUACUGACG
Molecule: ribosomal RNA, 611 nt
Filed under: Pseudonocardia sp. I12A-02632
Lineage: Bacteria; Bacillati; Actinomycetota; Actinomycetes; Pseudonocardiales; Pseudonocardiaceae
Description: bacterial SSU rRNA
Rfam family: Bacterial small subunit ribosomal RNA
Source: RNAcentral